UGGGGCGUAGCUCAGCAGUAGAGCAUUUGUUUCCUAUGCAUGAAGGCCUGGGUUUGAUCCCUGGCAUUACAA
RNAcentral lists this transfer RNA (72 nucleotides) under Cricetulus griseus (Chinese hamster). It matches the Rfam family "tRNA". From Rfam's summary of the family: Transfer RNA (tRNA) molecules are approximately 80 nucleotides in length. Their secondary structure includes four short double-helical elements and three loops (D, anti-codon, and T loops). The record is from Rfam by way of RNAcentral. Lineage: Eukaryota; Metazoa; Chordata; Mammalia; Rodentia; Cricetidae.